Molecule: ribosomal RNA, 591 nt
Filed under: uncultured eukaryote
Lineage: Eukaryota
Description: bacterial SSU rRNA
Rfam family: Eukaryotic small subunit ribosomal RNA
Source: RNAcentral
GUGACAAGAAAUACCGAUGCGGGACCCUACGGGUGCCGCGUUCGGAAUGAGUACGAUUCGAACCACCUAACGAGGAACGAUCGGAGGGCAAGUCUGGUGCCAGCAGCCGCGGUAAUUCCAGCUCCAAUAGCGUACGUUAAAGUUGCUGCAGUUAAAAAAGCUCGUAGUUGAACGUUCGGGUUCCGCGGGACGGGGCCGCCCCGCGAGGGACGGCGCCGCCCCGGGGCUCGUGAUAUCUCAUCUCGCCGCCCGUCGCGAGGCGGACGGAGGGAUGGAUGAGGUUACCUGGAAAAAAUCGGGGCGAUCUAGGCGGGCGAACCUCGCCAACGAACGAUCGGACAUGGGAUAACGGAAGAGGGCGUCGGCUCGACUUCGUCGGUUCCUCGGGCCGAGGCACGUACGGUGAAUAGGGACGGUCGGGGCCGCCCGUACCGGGUCGUGAGAGGUGAAAUUCUAGGAUCGACCCGAGACGAACCGCCGCGAAAGCAUUCGGCAAGGACGCUUUCAUUAAUCAAGAACGAAAGUCGGGGGAUCGAAGACGAUCAGAUACCGUCGUAGUCCCGACGUAAACGAUGCCGACCGAGGGCCCGG